AGGGUUUGAUCAUGGCUCAGGAUGAACGCUAGCGGCAGGCCUAACACAUGCAAGUCGAGGGGCAGCAUAAUUAUUCGUAAGAAUAAUGGUGGCGACCGGCGCACGGGUGCGUAACGCGUAUGCAACCUACCUUUUACUGGGGUAUAGCCCGGAGAAAUCCGGAUUAAUCCCCCAUAGUACUGACAAUUCGCAUGAUGAGUCAGUUAAAGUUUCGGCGGUAAAAGAUGGGCAUGCGUCCUAUUAGCUAGAUGGUAAGGUAACGGCUUACCAUGGCUACGAUAGGUAGGGGGCCUGAGAGGGUGGUCCCCCACACUGGUACUGAGACACGGACCAGACUCCUACGGGAGGCAGCAGUGAGGAAUAUUGGUCAAUGGGCGCAAGCCUGAACCAGCCAUGCCGCGUGCAGGAAGAAUGUCCUAUGGAUUGUAAACUGCUUUUAUUUGGGAAUAAACCCCCCGACGUGUCGGGGCCUGAAGGUACCAAAUGAAUAAGCACCGGCUAACUCCGUGCCAGCAGCCGCGGUAAUACGGAGGGUGCAAGCGUUAUCCGGAAUCUUGGGUUUAAAGGGUCC
This 571-nucleotide ribosomal RNA is filed under the name uncultured Flavobacteriia bacterium. RNAcentral describes it as "bacterial SSU rRNA". It matches the Rfam family "Bacterial small subunit ribosomal RNA", at positions 8 to 570 of the family's 1533-position model. Lineage: Bacteria; Pseudomonadati; Bacteroidota; Flavobacteriia. The record is from RNAcentral.